This 348-nucleotide ribosomal RNA is filed under the name uncultured Helicobacter sp. RNAcentral describes it as "bacterial SSU rRNA". It matches the Rfam family "Bacterial small subunit ribosomal RNA", at positions 278 to 643 of the family's 1533-position model. Lineage: Bacteria; Pseudomonadati; Campylobacterota; Epsilonproteobacteria; Campylobacterales; Helicobacteraceae. The record is from RNAcentral.
GACGGGUAUCCGGCCUGAGAGGGUGAACGGACACACUGGAACUGAGACACGGUCCAGACUCCUACGGGAGGCAGCAGUAGGGAAUAUUGCUCAAUGGGGGAAACCCUGAAGCAGCAACGCCGCGUGGAGGAUGAAGGUUUUAGGAUUGUAAACUCCUUUUGUUAGGGAAGAUUAUGACGGUAUCUAACGAAUAAGCACCGGCUAACUCCGUGCCAGCAGCCGCGGUAAUACGGAGGGUGCAAGCGUUACUCGGAAUCACUGGGCGUAAAGAGUGCGCAGGCGGGAUAGCAAGUCAGAUGUGAAAUGCUAUGGCUUAACCAUAGAACUGCAUUUGAAACUGUUAUUCUA